CGACCUGAGCUCAGGCAAGACUACCCGCUGAACUUAAGCAUAUCACUAAGCGGAGGAAAAGAAACUAACUAGGAUGCCCUUAGUAACGGCGAGCGAACCGGGCAGAGCCCAACUUGAAAAUCUCCAGCCUCCGGCUGGCGAAUUGUAGUCUAGAGAAGUGCUCUCUGCCGC
RNAcentral lists this ribosomal RNA (171 nucleotides) under Didymogenes sphaerica. Its description in RNAcentral is "partial LSU rRNA". It matches the Rfam family "Eukaryotic large subunit ribosomal RNA", at positions 1 to 171 of the family's 3401-position model. Lineage: Eukaryota; Viridiplantae; Chlorophyta; Trebouxiophyceae; Chlorellales; Chlorellaceae. The record is from RNAcentral.